UCGAAUCUUUGAACGCACAUUGCGCCCGUCAGUAUUCUGGCGGGCAUGCCUGUUCGAGCGUCAUUA
Molecule: ribosomal RNA, 66 nt
Filed under: Metarhizium anisopliae
Lineage: Eukaryota; Fungi; Ascomycota; Sordariomycetes; Hypocreales; Clavicipitaceae
Description: 5.8S ribosomal RNA
Rfam family: 5.8S ribosomal RNA
About the family: 5.8S ribosomal RNA (5.8S rRNA) is a component of the large subunit of the eukaryotic ribosome. It is transcribed by RNA polymerase I as part of the 45S precursor that also contains 18S and 28S rRNA. Functionally, it is thought that 5.8S rRNA may be involved in ribosome translocation.
Source: RNAcentral